UACGGGGGGGGCAAGCGUUGUUCGGAAUUACUGGGCGUAAAGGGCUCGUAGGCGGCCAACUAAGUCCGACGUGAAAUCCCCGGGCUCAACCCGGGAACUGCGUCCGAUACUGGCAGGCUUGAAUCCGGGAGAGGGAUGCGGAAUUCCAGGUGUAGCGGUGAAAUGCGUAGAUAUCUGGAGGAACACCGGUGGCGAAGGCGGCAUCCUGGACCGGCAUUGACGCUGAGGCGCGACAGCGUGGGGAGCAAACAGG
This 253-nucleotide ribosomal RNA is filed under the name uncultured bacterium. RNAcentral's name for it is "partial 16S ribosomal RNA". It matches the Rfam family "Bacterial small subunit ribosomal RNA", at positions 524 to 776 of the family's 1533-position model. The record is from RNAcentral.